CAGUAGCCGCGGUAAAACCGAGGGUGCAAGCGUUAAUCGGAAUUACUGGGCGUAAAGCGCGCGUAGGUGGUUCGCCAAGUUGGAUGUGAAAUCCCCGGGCUCAACCUGGGAACUGCAUCCAAAACUGGCGAGCUAGAGUAUGGUAGAGGGUGGUGGAAUUUCCUGUGUAGCGGUGAAAUGCGUAGAUAUAGGAAGGAACAUCAGUGGCGAAGGCGACCACCUGGGCUCAUACUGACACUGAGGUGCGAAAGCGUGGGGAGCAAACAGGAUUAGAUACCCGUGUAGUCCCUGUCUCUUAUAC
This 301-nucleotide ribosomal RNA is filed under the name uncultured bacterium. RNAcentral describes it as "partial 16S ribosomal RNA". It matches the Rfam family "Bacterial small subunit ribosomal RNA", at positions 509 to 807 of the family's 1533-position model. The record is from RNAcentral.